RNAcentral lists this long non-coding RNA (2320 nucleotides) under Mus musculus (house mouse). Its description in RNAcentral is "long non-coding RNA chr6:34416332-34418652". Lineage: Eukaryota; Metazoa; Chordata; Mammalia; Rodentia; Muridae. The record is from RNAcentral.
GUUUGAGUUUUAUUCUAUUUUUUGUAUAUGAGCGUUUUGUUUACAUGUAUAUGUGUGCACCAUGCCUAUGCUUGGUGCCUGUGGAGAUCAGAAGAGAGCAUGGGAUCCCUGGGAAUUGGAGUUAUGGAUGGUUGUGAAACACCACCUGGGUGCUAGGAACCCAACCUGGGUCCUCUGCAAGAGCAGCAAGUGCUCUCAUCUUCUGACCCACCUCUCUAGUCCCCAGAAGACUGUGCAGCGCGGAGGCUGAGGCAACAGGUGGUACUUGGUGAGACUCAUGCUUGGUUUUCUGCAAUUGUGUUUGAAAGAAACAGUAUUUCUUCUACCAGCUCAGAUAAGCUGCAACUGGCCAGCCAUCUUCCUCUUGGAUGCAUGCCCAUGAGUGCCCUUGGUAGGAUGUCUUGGGGCACUCUUGCAUAAGUUCCUAUUAAUCAAAGUGUGCCCAGAGAGUGACCUCCAUGUGUGGUGAUAUUGACAGUUAGCCAGUCCAACCUGAAGAAAUAUUGCAUAGUGUCUGGAGGGAUGUGGAUUCUUUUUGCUGUAGGCCCUUAUGAACAGCCUUGGUGAGAGUGGCAUGGUCUCCAAACUCAGGCCUUCUCCAGGUUGCAAGGUUAGGAGAAGCUGGUUACUCUCUUCCUCAGAUAACCAUACUCUUCUGAUAUAAAACCUCUGCCUAGUGACCUUGAAGUUUACAUUGGUUAACUUCCACGAUGAUAGUGAUGGCUUCUAUAAUAUACUAGAGGACUUGGAGCCAGCUGAGUAUUGCCAGAAAUAGAGGACUGACUUCCCAUGGUAGACUGACACAGGAAUUUUUUUUGAAUAUUAUAUUUUUAUGUGAGUUCUCUGGAAUUUGACAUGGGUACUUCUUAUUUCGCCGUCCUGAGACGUCUCUUCACAGGACCAGGUAACUAAAUGCCGAUUCUGGUGAUAUUUUUGUUUCUCAUUUACAGGCUGGGAAUGCGUUAUUACCCAAAGACAAUAAAGGCAAAGUUCUCCUGAGUAAAUCCACAUUCUUGGAUGCCUGGGAGGUAGGUUCCAACUUCCUUCAAGUGUGCUGCUCAAAGUUAAAAUACAAAUCUUCUCUCAGAUGCUGUUGAGACUCCACCCUGGUAUGGAAAGGCUCAAGUGCUCUGUAUAUAAUUUCAGAAUGCUUAUUCUCUAGUUCCCCCUCUGUCCUGGAAAGUGGUGUCUGUGGAGCUACUUGUGAAAGUCAGAGGGCAGCUACCCAAAGUAGGUUCUUUCCUUCUAUCACAUAGGCUCCAGGAAGAAACUGUGACCAUCUAGCUUGGCAGCAAGGACCUUUACCCACUGAAACAUUUCCCUGGCCCCAUGAAACACUUUCAGGAACAACAACAACAACAAAAAAACCAACCAACCAAACAAACAAAACCUUACUGCAAGUCAGAGGCUCUGAUAGAUACAAGAAGGAUCAAGUAUGUCAGUAAAUGAAAAAUAAAAUAAAAAGGAAGGACAUGACUGCUCUUAGGUAUGCUGGAGGAGAAAGUUUACUCAGAGUAUUCCAAGUUGUAGCCAAAGAUGAGAUUUCACGCGUCAGCUAAACCCUCCUUGCUCGUCCCUGCCUCUAAGCCCUUGCUGUCCCUCCCCCAUCCGUGCAUGAUUUUACUACCUUUCUUCAUGUCAAUUUUUUUUCAGGCUCAAUUUAAACUCUCCUCCCAAUGACUCUCCUGGGCUAAGAUGAUUCCUUCCUCUCCUCCCUCAUCCAUGUACUAAUUGAUGUCAAAUAAGCUGAGGCAGCCUAGCAAGCACAUUGUAUACAUUUACACACACACACACACACACACACACACACACACGUAUAUGUAUAUAUAUAUAUGUAUAUAUAUAUAUAUACACAUGCACAAUAUGAUGUAUAUGUAGUAUAUGUAUAUGCAUAUGUAUACACACAUAUAAACAGAAACUUAGAAUGGAUGAAUAAUUAUAAAUUCACAUUCAAUGUCACUAUCAGGUUGGAUAAUUAUCUUUGGGAAAGUUUAAAACAAGCUCAAUGUAUUUAAGUAAUAAAAAAAUAAACUCCAGAUCCUUGGGUGGAUGUGAUAUGGGUUGGCUGGGUGCCCCUGCCUGGGUCCAUCUGUCUGCAAGGUGAUCCUUACUGUAUGCUUUCAAUCACGGCUAUGUGAGAGGCUGAGGCACAAAGAUCACAUUUCAGAUCCUGCCUGGACUUCAGAGUAACUUCAAGGCCAACCCUUACAAGAUCCUAUUCAAGAUUGGAAAAUGAAGGGGGUUAGGAACUAGAGAUACAGAUUCACGGCAGAUUGCCUGUCUAACACAUAGGAGACCACAGACUCAACCCUUAAUAAGC